RNAcentral lists this ribosomal RNA (255 nucleotides) under uncultured bacterium. Its description in RNAcentral is "partial 16S ribosomal RNA". It matches the Rfam family "Bacterial small subunit ribosomal RNA", at positions 524 to 776 of the family's 1533-position model. The record is from RNAcentral.
UACGGAGGGUGCGAGCGUUAUCCGGAUUCACUGGGUUUAAAGGGUGCGUAGGUGGGAAUGUAAGUCAGUGGUGAAAUCUCUGAGCUUAACUCAGAAACUGCCAUUGAUACUAUGUUUCUUGAAUUUUCUGGAGGUCAGCGGAAUAUGUCAUGUAGCGGUGAAAUGCUUAGAUAUGACAUAGAACACCAAUUGCGAAGGCAGCUGGCUACAGGGAUAUUGACACUGAGGCACGAAAAGCGUGGGGGAGCGAACAGG